GAUGAACGCUGGCGGCGUGCCUAACACAUGCAAGUCGAGCGGACAGACGAGGCUUUUGCUCGGCUUACGUGAGGGGCGGGCGGGUGAUUCACACGAGUAUACCCUACCUAUAAGACUGAGAUCACUUCGGGACAGCGGAUAUAACACCCGAUAAGAUGGUGAACCGCGGGGUUCAUCGGACAAAGCCGGCUUUGCUGGCACUAAUAGCGGGUUACGAGUUGGAUUAGCUAGUUGGUAAGGUAACGGCUUACCAAGGCUACGAUGCGUAGCCGACCUGAGAGGGUGAUCGGCCACACUGGAACUGAGACACGGUCCAGACUCCUACGGGAGGCAGCAGUAGGGAAUAUUAGGCAAUGGGCGAAAGCCUGACGGAGCAACGCCGCGUGAGUGAAGAAGGUCUUCGGAUCGUAAAGCUCUGUUAUUAGGGAAGAACAAAUGUGUAAGUAAACAUGGCCGUCUUGACGGUACCUAAUCAAAAAGCAACGGCUAACUACGUG
RNAcentral lists this ribosomal RNA (497 nucleotides) under uncultured bacterium. Its description in RNAcentral is "partial 16S ribosomal RNA". It matches the Rfam family "Bacterial small subunit ribosomal RNA", at positions 28 to 507 of the family's 1533-position model. The record is from RNAcentral.